UACAUUUUGUAAUAAUUUAAUUUUGGAUGUAACGCGUCUUCUGAUUGGCUGACGUUAUUUUGUUAUGAGCCCAUAGACAUUAUUUAGUCAGGUGACCGUGACGUCAUCAACGUUUUUUCAUGGUUUUCUACGGUUUAAAAUGGAAUUUAAAAUUAAAUUAUAAGAAAUGACUGUAAUAUUUUUUCUGUCUAUUCGAAAUAACAUAAAACAUGUGUUGCACACUGUUAGAUAACC
This 234-nucleotide long non-coding RNA is filed under the name Mytilus galloprovincialis (Mediterranean mussel). The record is from RNAcentral. Lineage: Eukaryota; Metazoa; Mollusca; Bivalvia; Mytilida; Mytilidae.